Molecule: long non-coding RNA, 503 nt
Filed under: Hordeum vulgare
Lineage: Eukaryota; Viridiplantae; Streptophyta; Magnoliopsida; Poales; Poaceae
Description: long non-coding RNA (HVUL_LNC010953)
Source: RNAcentral
UUGUUUCAGUAGAUUUCUGCACCACAUGACUAGUUUCAGAUUCGGUGGUGAAUUUUUUUUCUUUUGCAAUUGGGUUCUUGUUUCAAAAGGUUUUUAGAACACAUCUUUUGUUUCACAAAGAAAAAAAUGGUUUGAUGGUCAAGUUUUUUUUUUUUCGUAACAGGGUUUUGUUUCAGAAACAUAGUCCGAGUUGCAACACUGGAGGAGUGCCCGACAUUAGAGAGUGAGUGAUCAGACAUUGUAACAUGAGUCAUAUUUCAGAAACAUAACUUUAGUUAUAGAAAACGACGAAGGAGCGACUGGUGUGAGAGGUUGUCAUCGUCGUGAAAAUUUUCUGUAACAAGACCUAUUUUGUGGAAGUUUUGGCAACGCCAACUUUGUUGUGAUGGUGGAAGACAUAGCAUGACUGCACGAUUAUGCCAUAUCCGACGGCUAUAACCUGGCCGAUCCUUUAAAAAGAUCAUCCGACGGAUGCGUAGCACUGCCCAUAAAGUAUGUCCACC